Molecule: ribosomal RNA, 104 nt
Filed under: Cebus imitator (Panamanian white-faced capuchin)
Lineage: Eukaryota; Metazoa; Chordata; Mammalia; Primates; Cebidae
Source: RNAcentral
CCAGGGUGCCAUAGCAGCCUGAGGGUGCCCCAGCUCAGAAGCUAAGCAGGAAGAGGCCUGGCUGAGAAUUGGAUGGUGACAGCCUGAGAAGACCAGGUGCUGGA